RNAcentral lists this ribosomal RNA (442 nucleotides) under uncultured bacterium. RNAcentral describes it as "partial 16S ribosomal RNA". It matches the Rfam family "Bacterial small subunit ribosomal RNA", at positions 338 to 795 of the family's 1533-position model. The record is from RNAcentral.
CCUACGGGAGGCAGCAGUGGGGGAUAUUGCACAAUGGGGGAAACCCUGAUGCAGCGACGCCGCGUGGGCGAAGAAGUAUUUCGGUAUGUAAAGCCCUAUCAGCAGGGAAGAAGAAAUGACGGUACCUGAGUAAGAAGCACCGGCUAAAUACGGGCCAGCAGCCGCGGUAAUACGUAUGGUGCAAGCGUUAUCCGGAUUUACUGGGUGGAAAGGGAGCGCAGGCGGCACGGCAAGCCUGUUGUGAAAGCCCGCGGCCCAACCGCGGGACUGCAUUGGGAACUACCGGGCUGGAGUGCAGGAGAGGUAGGCGGAAUUCCUAGUGUAGCGGUGCAAUGCGUAGAUAUUAGGAGGAACACCAGUGGCGAAGGCGGCCUACUGGACGGUGACUGACGCUGAGGCUCGAAAGCGUGGGGAGCAAACAGGAUUAGAUACCCGAGUAGUC